UACGUAUGGAGCAAGCGUUAUCCGGAUUUACUGGGUGUAAAGGGAGCGCAGGCGGCCUUGCAAGUCUGAUGUGAAAUACCGGGGCUCAACCCCGGAGCUGCAUUGGAAACUGUGAGGCUGGAGUGUCGGAGAGGCAGGCGGAAUUCCUAGUGUAGCGGUGAAAUGCGUAGAUAUUAGGAGGAACACCAGUGGCGAAGGCGGCCUGCUGGACGAUGACUGACGCUGAGGCUCGAAAGCGUGGGGAGCAAACAGG
Molecule: ribosomal RNA, 253 nt
Filed under: uncultured bacterium
Lineage: Bacteria
Description: partial 16S ribosomal RNA
Rfam family: Bacterial small subunit ribosomal RNA
Source: RNAcentral